UCUGCCCAACUCUAUCUCUCUCAUUUCACCAGCUCAACUCUCUCACUCAGAUAUGCAGCCCAUCUCAUUCCCCUCCCUCUCGACUCCCUCUAACCCUAGAAAUAGUGGUGGCGGCAGCAGCAACAUAGUGGUGGUGCCAUUCUUCAAGCGACGUUUGGAGCCGAGGAGGUGAACCACAUCUCUCUGAAAAGCCUUGUUAGUGUACUUUGUAAUCGAAGCUUCUUCAAUGGCGAAUAUCAAUUUACCUCGAAGAAUUAUCAAAGUAAGUCACUCGAUCUUCCUCUUCUCCUAUUUCUCGAUCCCUUCCCCAAUUCAUUUUGAUUUAAUUUCUUCAUCCUUGUUUAGAAUUUUUCUGUUUGAAUAAUUUAUUUUUGGUAGAUUCAUGUCUGCUUUGAAGUUUUUAAAAAGACUGGACUACAUUUUUUGAGAAUCAGGUGCUUUCUCCUGCGAUGUAUAAGCAUAUUUUCCUUGGACGACCUUUCCACCUUAGCUUUUUGAAAGAGUAAUAUUGGAGUUAUUUGUGGAUCAUGAUACUUUUCCUCUUGUGGUAAAUUAUUUUAUUGGCUUCUUGUUGGAUGGUUUUGUAUACUUGUCUACUCAACCUUUCCAUUACUUUCCUUUUAUUAAAUAAUAAGGUUAGUGUGAUUACAUUGCUUAUGCCCAUUUUAGUUUACCUCAUAUUUUAUUUUAUGAUGGAUCUUCCUGUUAAUUGCUUUCCAUUUGACCUGUAAACUACUCCCAAUGUCCAUGGGUUCUUCUCUUUUUUGACAGUUCUCUAAUGUACUUAUACUUAUUUAAAAAAAUAAAUUAAUGUGACCUUAUACUUCAACUGAUUUUAGUUAUGAAUUAUUGUUUGUACAUUUGGUGAUUUGUACACCUUAAUGAUUAGAUAAGUAUUUGCAAUAUAUGCAGGAUUGCUUCAUCAUAUCAGUCUCGUAUGUAUCCGUUUGUCGUGCUCUCAUAUGUAUCACCACAUUUACAUUAUGCAGUUGUUGACUAAGAGUAACUCAUUCGGCUCCGCUGACGUUUCACAACGCUGACUGAUUCGGCAUUGCACGCCUUAGGUAACAUGUUUAAUUGUUAGGGUUAAUAUGCGUUGUCCUUCUUAAUUAUAUUUGUUAUAUGCCUUCGCCUUUGGAGUACUGAUUGGAACUUCUGGUAUUUGCUACAAAUUACCUAUAGUUAAUGCAUUAGUUGGUCGUAUCUUCUCAUUGCAAAUUUUAUAAUGCUAUUUUGACUAUUACACUCAGCUAAAAGAUAUAUUCCCCAUUCUUAUAGCCACGGUUUUUCCUACGAUGUGCCAUGCUCAGUCUACUUUCCCACUAAAGCUCUAAAUGGAAAUCCAGGGGGAGUCUGAAUUUGGUGUAGAACCAUUCUUUAGUAAUGGUGUUCUAGAAUAAGACAUGAUUAAAACCUCACAUAGAUUAAGUUGAAUAAUAAAUUUGAUGGUUGUCCCAUGCUCGAUAUAUUUUUCCUAUAAAGCUCUAACUGAAAGUCUAGGGGAAUCUAAAUUUGGUAUAGAACCAGUAUUUUAUGAUGGUAUACCAGAAAAAGACAUGAUUAAAACCUCACAAGAUUAAGCUGAAUAGUAAAUUACGAUAGGUAGAGUUUAUAAAUGGAUCUUCUAAUUUUUCAUAUUAUUAUUUAAAUGAUACAUGAUAAAAUUCAGUAUUAUUAUAUAAUUUCAGCUCAGAAAACAGGAAGCAAGAGGUAAAUGACAUCGUUUCUUUAAAAAUUAGAAGAUAUGUUUUAUUUUAAGGAUUGACAAGCUAAAUAUCCAUGCCACAACUUGGAGACCUAUCAAAUUGCAAGUCUAAAACACACCAAUAAAUUUGGUAAUUUAAGUUUUGUGAGUUACUAUAGAAAAGAAAGAAAAUAAAAUAUAUUAGUUUAACACAUACCAGUUGGCAUCAAUGUUGAUAUCCUAGCCGUUACUUUAUAUGGUUAAAUUAGAAAAACAUUUCUUGUUAAACACAUUUACAUGAAAUAUUCAUUCUCAAGAAAAUUAGCUUCCAAAGAACCAAAGAGCAUAACUGUUAGGAAUAACCGCAGUCUUAUAGAUUAUCUAGUUGCAAUAGAAAAUUUUUUAUUUUUAUUUUUAGGAUUUGGUAGCUAUUAGAAGGAAGAUGUAGUAGUAGUUUCUAUAAGGUCUACUAAGCGGUACAAGUAUGGGUAAAAGAUGUAUUUCCAUUUUAAACCAUGAUUUGAAUGAAAUAUUUAAUUGAGAUAUAUUUUCCCUCUCUUAUUCCCUUCCUCAUCACAAAUUCUCCUUUCUACAGAUAAUACUGUGGUGCAUGGUCAGAGCGUAGGUGAUGAAUUUGCAGAUAAUAAAGAUCAAAAUUCUGCAAAAGACGCGGUUCCAAAUAAUAUGAACCAAGAUACUAGUCAGAAUCUUACCAACUUUGCUAAUGUAUCUAUGGAUACAUCACAAGUUACUGCAUAUGUUCAUGAAUCCAUUUCUGAGCAUCAGCUGGUUGAUGUUUCUGGUAACCCAUAUUAUAUCUACUGAAUAUCUUUAUUUUAGAUUGUUACUAUCUGACCUAUACUAUUUCCAUGCCACGAGCGGCGCUUUGAAAUAGUACUAUAUCAAUUGUUGUUAGUUUUUGUGUAAUAUAAUUUUAUACUGAAGAAGUGAGUUGUUAAGUUAUGCCUGCACAUGUUUCUAUUAGGCAUUAUAUGCUUCUGUUUUAGAGUUUGUGAAGUGAAUGCUGUAAUUAGGUAGGCAUAAGAUUUUACACAAAAGGGUAAGUCGAUUAGGCCAUUGUAUUUGCUGUGGGAAAUGGACUCGAUGUAGAGUUACCAUUCCAUCAUUAUUGCACGAUAUGGCUGCUCUACACUUGAGCCUGAUCUUUCAUGAGUGAACUAAACUAUGAUGCCAGCGCCUAUUUUUUGGGCCGGCAGACCAUGUUAACCUAUGUUUUGUUGUUAUUCAGAAAAAAAAAUUUGUUGUGUAGUUCAUUUUAGUUUUAUAUGCUGCUCUUCCAAGUUUGACCAUCCCUUACCUUUGAGUCUCUUCCAACCCGACAGAUGGUGCUACACGGUACUACCAUUCAUUCAUUCAUUCCAUUGAACAGUCUCAAAAGGACUAAUGUAACUUAUAUAUAUUCAAAAUAAUAUUACAUUCCCCAGGUUCUUUCUAACCCUUUUCACUUGUUCUUGUCAUAAUAUCAAUAUAUUACAAACAGUCAUCCAAUACUAUUACAUAAGUAUGCUACGGGUUCGUUUUCGCUUUUACUUUAUCCUUGCCAGAGCCUUCAGUCCGCUCGAUCUUGGUUGUGUUUAUAUGGUUCAAGCAAGAGUCAGGAUGACUAGCUCAGCAAGUACUACAAUUCUAAUAAACAACAUGCUUGAAACAUAGAACUCAUAUAUCUUCAGUAAAUUAAAAAUAGUUACGAAGUACUAUCGAUAAUUCAAAAUAGCACCUCUUUUCCUUCAAAACGUUUUCCAACAACAAUAUUCAGUAGAAUAUCAAAUAAGGCUCAAGGUUAAGAGCAUUUCAUAAUUUCUUUUGAAAAAGGACAAACCGGCACUAAGUCAAUAAGUCCGGCAUAGCUUACGAGCACUUCUGGGUGAUCAGCCCAUAGCACUCUAUGUUGAUCAACACUACAUCCAUUAAACGUGUAUACGUUUAAGUUGUGGCAACCUCACGUGCCUGUCGUUAAACGACAAAACAUUUUAGCAUACUUGGUCUUCGAUUGAAAACCAUACCAAUAUAACUCGGUAAACAUUAACCAUGCUUGACAAAAUCAUAAUAUAAGUCUAGCCGAAAGAAUUAGCUUUAGACUUCAUCAUUCAAAACUUCAUGCGAAAGGAUACAUGAAUUACAAAGCUUGUCCAGACUGAACUGGAACAAGGGUUAGAAUACUUGCCUUUAGCGUCUGAUUACUGAUUAAUACCCGUACAGUACUUUAAGUCUUUACAUUUCUAUAACACAUGAUCAUAUAACGUACCACAUUAGGUCACACAUAAUCAAGUAUGUAUACUAUUAUAUCUUACCCUUCAUCUCAAUGUAAAUCCUGACUUAGAUAUACUAUUAUGGUUUCCGGCUUUCAUUACGUUAUUCACAUUUUGCUCAUCUUCGAUUGAUUAUUAACUCUUAAUCAUCAUACAUUAGUGUCUUACAAUGUCUUAACAACGUUAUGCAUAUACCUUAAUUCAUUAUUAUCAAGUCCCCUUUCAUUCUAUACUUGCAAACAUUCUUUUCUAACAAUUUCUUGUGACUGGCGUUGCAGCGCCAACAUUAACUCUGCAUCUCACGUUGCGGCAUGAGUUAGCAGUAUGCAGGGUUCCAGCCUCACACUGCGGCAUGGGUUUUAAGGCUGUGAGUCGCGCCGCGGCGCGGACUCUGUGCCUCAGAAAAUUUUGCAGAUUUGAAAAUUUUACGAACUUCCCGGACGCAUAACUUCUUCGUUAUAAGUCCGAAUUGGUCCGUUCAAAAGCCUACGGUUCUCAAAUUUCAUACUCUACGCGUUCAUGUAAGAAUUUUAUCUAUUUGACUUCGUUUGCUAAAAUUUCACCUAUGAGUUCAUUUUCAACAAAAACGAUAAACAUUCGUGAAUGUUCAACGCUCAUUUCUUCGUUCUAAGUCAGAAUUCGAUCAUUUUUGAGUCCACAACUCUAUAAUGCCAAAUAUGACUUGUCUCCAUUGACAACCAAAGUUGCCAAUGUCAAACACAAAAUACGACUUCCAUUCCGAGAAUUUCACGAAUUCAACGAUAAUCGUCCAAUCGUAUGAAUUCCGACAAAGCUUCAUUACUAAUCAUUCUAAAUGGAUUUUGAUCAAAAAAGGAUCUUACAAGUUACUUAUUACAACUAAUCUUAGGUGUUCAGCAUGAUCUUCUGGCGCCUUAGAAUAGACUAGAAUAUCAUCAAUAAACACCACGACGAAUUUGUCCAAAUAUUGUUUGAACACUCUGUUCAUCAUAUCCAUGAAUGCAGCUGGUGCAUUUGUCAACCCAAACGACAUCACCAGAAACUCGUAAUGACCAUAACGAGUCCUGAAUGUUGUCUUUGCCACAUCCUCCUUCCUAACCUUCAACUGAUGAUACCCCAUUCUUAAAUCUAUUUUAGAAAAAUACUUAGCCCCUUUCAACUGAUCAAAGAGAUCAUCGAUCCUGGGCAAUGGGUAUUUAUUCUUUAUCGUUAACUUGUUCAGCUCUCUGUAGUUGAUACAAAGUCUUAACGAUCCGUCCUUCUUCUUGACAAACAGUACCGGUGAUCCCCACGACGACACACUCGGCUGAAUGUACUUCCUAUCCAACAGUUCUUGCAACUGCACCAUUAACUCCUUCAUCUCCACUGGCGCCAUACGAUACGGUGCCCUGGAAACUGGUGCUGCUCCUGGAACAAUGUCUAUCACGAACUCUGUCUCCCUAUCCGGCGGAAGACCAAGCAAUUCACUCGGAAAUACAUCGGCGAAUUCUCUCACUAUCGGUAUUUGUUCCAUGGUUGCUACCACUCUUUGGGUAUCAACAACAUGGCACAGGUAACCUACGCAUCCCUUCCUUAGUAAUUUCCUAGUUUGUGUCAUGGUUAGACCACACGAACGUCCUGGCGAUCUAUUCCCGUAAAAUACUACUCGAGGUUGUUAUAACGUCUUAAUGUUCACACAUUUAUUUUGACAAUCUAUAAUUGCCCCAUGGUUUACCAACCAAUCCAUUUCGAGAAUUACGUCAAACUCUCUUAACUUUAUCGGUAUUAGAUCCACCGAUAAUUUACAACCCCGUAUGUCUACACAACAAAUCUUGUGAACAUCUUCAACAGGAAUUAUUUCUUCGUUUGCUACCUUAAUAUUUAAAGGUAUAGGCAACUUUUCGCGAAGUAACCUAAUCGUCUAGCAAAAUUGCAUGCUAUAAAUGAACAAGUAGCACCCGAAUCAAAUAGUACGUACGCAUUGAUAUCAUUGAUCAGAAUAAUACCUGCGACAACGUCCCCUGAUGCGACUGCAUCUUGGAUUGUCAUGUUAAAGGUACGACCCAUCGGCCUACCCGGCUGCGCUGGACCCCCAAUAGCUAACUUACCGCUAUUAGUGCCCCGGUUCCCAUCCGUCCCCUUCUUCGGGCAGUUCUUUACCCUGUGUUCAGUUGAUCCACACACAAAGCAUCCAUGAUUCUUCUUCGGACUCGGUCAAUUAGGUGCAAUGUGCCCCUCUUGUCCACAAUUGUAACAGACUGCCUUCCCCUUGAGACAGACUCCUAAGUAAGUCUUCCCACAGGUCUUGCAGGCCUCUAUUCUCUUCUUCGGGUCUCCUUGCUUCACUCUGGUAUUCCCAGAGCUAAAUACCUUCCUCUUCUGACCCUCGCCACUUCCACUGGCUCCCUCGAUCUUGACUCUCCCGUCUACUUUACCCUUGCUCUUCUUGUCCUUGUGGUAUUGACUCAGAGCCUCACUACCACCUUCGGCGAUUAUCUCCUUCUCUAAAAUGGUUCCAAAAGAAGUACUUUGGAACACCGAUAUACGGUUAUAGAGCUAGGGUUUCAAGCCUUCCUCGAACCGUCGCGCCUUCCACACCUCAGUAUCCACUUGAUGUGGAGCGAACCUUGCCAGUUCAUUAAACUUGGCGGCGUAUUGGGGCACUGUCAUGUCCCCUUGUUUCGACUCCAGAAACCGCAUCUCCAUCCUUUCUUACAUGCUCGUGGGAAAGUAGUUCUCGAAGAAUAUCUCCUUGAACCUAUCCCAUGUCAGAUUCGCUAUCCCAACCCUAGCCUGAUUGGCUUCCCACCAAAAGUUGGCCUCUCCCUUCAUUAUAUAGGUCGCAAAGGCAACCUUUUGGGCCUCAUCAACAUUUUCUAUUACAAAUGCCUUCUCUAUUUCCUUAACCCACGUUUGGGCUUCAAUAGGGUCCGUAGUUCCUUUGAACUCCGGCGGACCCACACUUUUGAAAUCCUUAAAGGUAGUAGCUCGUGUUACUCCCGGAUUCACGGGGAUAUUAGCCCCUGUUCUAUUAAAUGCGGCUGUUAUUAAAUUAACAAACUCCUGCAUCGGAUUAACCGGACCUCCCUCCGGUUGAUUUAUGUCCGCACCUUGAUUACGUUGCACUCUUCUCGGUGGCAUUUUGCUGAUACAAUAAACACAUUGCGUUAUUAUUCCUUUCUUUAUUAGUUAUCGUUAAUAUUAAACAAUAACGUCAACAUUCAUAACUCAAUGCUUUCCAUAAAAAGAUCUUUAUAUUCAUUCUUGUAGUAUAAUACUACAUUGGUUACAUACACAGCCUAAGCUGAUUAUAUUACUUUCGCGCUAUCACUUUCCAAAAAUUGGGAUUUACAAAAGACUACCCUUUACUAUACAAAAAGGGUUUUAUGUCACUACUACUUACAAAAUAUUUACAUACUACCUUAAAUACCACUAAUCUACAUCUGCCUCAAGGCAUUAUCGAAAUCUGCCUUGGCAAGGCCGGCAAUGGUAUCACGGCUAAUAGUAUGCCAUGUUUGCCCCACCUCCACAGGAUAUCCAGUUACCUGCUGUUGGAAAUCUGUAUGAGAACUCCUAUAGAAAUAGGACAUUCUCCCUAUCUUUUGCACCUUAGUCUUUAGCUCCUCCUUAAGCUCAAAGACCUCGUGCUUUUAAUCAUGGACUUUGUCCUUAGCCAAAAUCCUCUCGUCGUGUUCUUGCUUCCACAUGGACUCGACAUCAGUCUUGUUCUCUCUAACAAUUUGGAGCUCUGCCUUCAACUCCUUAACCUCCUGACAGUAAUGGAUAUUUCUAUCCAACACUGAUAUAAACAGAGACAUCAUUGACCCCCCAGGAGCUAUCUCGGCUGCUAUAGCUACUGGAUUAAAGGAAACUGUCUCUACCUCCUCCUCUAUCAUCCCCAAAUACUGACAUGUAGUCAGCUUCAUCUGAGUCUCUAGACUCAAUAUUCACUACAUCUGGCUCUAGUGCUAUAGGGUUUGGUAUAACCUCUACUUGGUUCACCGAUUCUUCACUAAUGGUUUGACCAUCUACAAACAUCCCGUUUACUCCUGACAUCUAUACAAAAUAAUUAAGUUGAUUAGUACACGUCAGUAGAAUAAUAAAAACACAUAAUAUAAUCAUAAUGCAUUUUUAUAAGGUUAUUUUCUUCUUGUACUUCCUUAACUUUUCUUAAGGUUAUGACUUAAGGUUUUUAAUUUCCCCCCUUAAGUUUUAUAACCUAAUGCUCUGAUACCAACCUGUGACGCCCCCAAAUUCGGGUCUCUUCCAACCCGACAGAUGGUGCUACACGGUACUACCAUUCAUUCAUUCAUUCCAUUGAACAGUCUCAAAAGGACUAAUAUAACUUAUAUAUAUUCGAAAUAAUAUUACAUUCCCCAGGUUCUUUGUAACCCUUUUCACUUGUUCUUGUCAUAAUAUCAAUAUAUUACAAACAGUAAUCCUAUAUUAUUACAUAAGUAUUUUACGGGUUUGUCUUCGCUUUGCCUUUAUCCUUGCCGGAGCCUUCGGUCCGCUCGAUCUUGGCUGUGUUCAUAUGGUUCAAGAAAGAGUGAGCAUGACUAGCUCAGCAAGUACUACAAUUCUAAUAAACAACAUGCUUAAAACAUAGAACUCAUAUAUCUUCAGUAACUGAACAAUAGUUACGAAGUACUAUUGAUAAUUCAAAAUAGCACUAAUUUUCUUUCAAAACGUUUUCCAGCAACAAUAUUCAGUAGAAUAUCAACUAAGGCUCAAGGUUAAGAGCAUUUCAUAAUUUCUUUUGAAAAAGGACAACCCGACACUAAGUCCGUAAGUCCGGCAUAGCUUACGAGCACUUCUGGGUGAUCAGCCCAUAGUACUCUAUGUUGAUAAUUAAUCUAACUACUUUCAUUGGGCUUUGAUAAUUAAUCUAACUACUUUCUUAAUGGGCAUGUGCUUCAUAUAGAUUGGACUUAUGAUUAACAACCACUUGGGCUUGAUUGUCACAUUCUAUUGGACUUAUGCUAUUAGGUUAAUAAUCCUACAAGUCCAUUCCCUUUAAUUAAAUAACUUAACAUAAAUACACCACAUAUAAUCCUCGUAUGCUAGCUCAUAUAUUAAUUCGUAAUAUACGUUAUUUCAUUCUCCAUAUAAUAGUAUAACACGUCAUAUUAUACUUACGUUCAUUACUUCAUAUAAUACGUACGCAUCAUACGAUUACAACUUUCUUCCUUUAACGCUUAAUAAACCUAACGUUCCCAAAUUAAGUCCGCAUGAGAAAAAUUACGAUUUCCAUACUUAGAUUAUUAUUACAUAAUCGAUCUCACCUUGAUAUUAUAACGUUACGUAUUUCUUGAAAGUUCAAAAAUAAUUCCCGAGUAGAACUCGAUGAAUAGUGUUUUUCGGAAAAUUUCUCGAAAAACUUUUAUUUUCGUUUUAGAAAUUCAAACACUUUAAUUCUCUCACGAAGUUAAAAUACUACGACGUUCUGACAUUUCUAGGUUAUAGAACGACAUUCAGCUUAUCAACACAUAAUAAUAACAAAUAAUAUUAUUUUAUUCAUUAUUAAAAAUAUGUACAAAGGUUCGAUUUUUCGUACCCUUGGUACGAAAAGAAAAGGAAAAUGAUGAAUCAACUAUAUCAUCAAAAUAAUUCAGUAGUAAUUGUUUCACCAUUUUAGAUUUACAACUCCUUUAAAUAAAUCCAGUUGGUGACAUGGAUCCCAUCUCAUGGUUGAACCCACUCUCCUAUUGUUUCUUGUCUGUCUUGUUUUUAUAUUUUCUUGUAAAUGAAAUGCUACAACGUGCUACAACGUGAGAGCCAGCUGUUAUACACUGUGGAUGUUUAUGAAUAUGCUUACUAUGUGAAGUUCCUUAUGAAAAAAAUAUUUAAACCUAGCAACUCUUGAGUGCAAAGUCCAGCAAUGGAUAUCAUUUGAAGGAGUUGUGUUUCAGGUGUAAAUGUGUACCUGAGGUCCUGAACUCUAACCUGCCAUUUCCCACAAAGUUGGUUGGGACUUGGGACUAAACUUGUGCAUAAAUUUGAUCACUAUUGUGACCUGGUUAGGACUCAGUAAUCAGUAGUUUGUAUAUGGGUCUAGAUCCAGUAGUGGUCAGUAAACUAAUUAUAAUAUUAAUGUUUCUAUCCUCUGGACUACUGUAUCUACAUGAAUGGGCUCUCCUCAUCUUCACUUAGUAAAGCCUAAUCCCAACUAUUUGAGGCUGGUUAAAUGAAUUUUGUUUCAACCGUCCAUAUGAGUUUGUUUUGUAUAUAUAUAGAUGGGUGAUAGAUAAUCAGAUUGAUAAUAUGGUUUAAACCCAGGAUAUUAAUAUAGGUGUAUUUUAUAUUGAUAUCAAAUUUUAAUCAAAGAAGUCUGGUGUUUCUAGGUGUUGUACAUCACAUCUUUCACUAACAUGCUGCUUCAUUUUCUUUCUUGUAGCUUCUUGGGAGGAGAAGUGGAUUUCAUGUGGCAUCAACUUAUCGGCUGUGUACGAAAUGUCUUUGGCAUCAACUCAUUGAUUCAUUUGUAGUUUCUACAGUGCUAUGUAACAUGUUCAUUUAUAUUUAUAUUGAAAAGUGAAUUUGAGAUGCAUAUAUGGAUAGUUUGAUAUAUAUUUUGUGGAUGUAGUAAUUUGAAACUGUAACGAAUGGUAUUAUUGGAAUGUAUUUUAAAUGGUUGAUACAUUUUGGCUUUAAAUUUAAAUGAGAAUUUAGACUUUUUAGCUAUAUAUCAUGGCAUUAGCAUAUUGCAGGUGCAUUGGUAAUAUAGGUGAACCACAACAUUUUUUUUCUUUUUUUUCUUUAUCUACAACAUUUUAAAAAUGUUGUAUAUUUGUAUAAAUAAAUGACACCUUCUAAACGUUGUAUAAAAUGGUUAAAAACAUUGUCUGAUAUAUUAAACUACAACGUUUUUAUCCAGAAAACGUUGUGGAAUCAUACCUUCUACAACGUUUUUAAGCAUUUACUAAUUUAUGGAAAACAAAUUUACAACGUUUUUUUCUUUAAAAAUGUUGUGUAAUGUGCUUAACUGCAACAUUUUAAAAAUGUUUUGAAAGGGUGUCAAAUAGAUCACACCCUUAACCAUGACGUUUUUCUGACUGAAACCACAACGUUUUUUCUGCCUUAUCUAUUUACUGUUUUGUAGUAGUAAUAAUAACUCAAGUUUGAGUUAGGAAACUUGCCUUGGUCGCUGACAACUGCUACACAAUCUAAUUUAGCUUUGUUUGAAAGAAUUAUUGUAAGACCCCAACUUUUAUGAAUAAAGAAUAAUUUUCUCGAAAUAUAUUUUUGAAUAUUAUGGUGUGGAUUUGAUAUAAUAUUAUAGUUGUGGGUAAUAUUUACAAAUUUUGCAAAGUAAACAAGUGGUUAUAUAAUAUUCGAUUGGUCGGGGAAUAUUCGUUUUAACAGGGAAUAUUCGUACGACGAAACAAUCAUUUGUGAACCCCACAACGGAAGUAUUGUCGUUGUUAGAAAAUGACAUAAUUAUCUUUUUAUAAAAAUAACGGCGGAAGUUUUACCAUUAAACUGUUGAACUACCCGGUAGUAAAAGUACAGUAAUACGCGUGGUUGCAUAGUAGCACACGGUAUUGAUUAUUGAUGCUUACGUGAGAAAUCACUCAGUUAUACUCAAUUAUUGCUACAGUAAUUGCUGCAUCAUAUCUCUCAUAUUAUUGAUUUGAUUAUUGUCACAGUAUCAUCUGCAUUAUAUGAUAUAUUAUUAAAUCAAUAAUUGAGACAACAAAGUUANNNNNNNNNNNNNNNNNNNNNNNNNNNNNNNNNNNNNNNNNNNNNNNNNNNNNNNNNNNNNNNNNNNNNNNNNNNNNNNNNNNNNNNNNNNNNNNNNNNNUCACAUGAUUGAACUAUUGAUUCACAUUAUUUACUAUUAGGGGAGGUGGUGCAAGUUUGAUAAUACUUGCAGGACUAAAUUAAAAAUGAAAGAAAAGUUGGAGGUAUUGUACUAUAAUUUUUUGAGCCCCAAAACGUGCAAUUAUCGAAACUAUAUUUUUCUAUAAAUAGAAGCUCAUUCUUCCUUCAUUUCUCACCAAUUCACUAAAGCAAUAGAGCAAUUAUUAUAGAGAGAAAUUAUAGAGAGAAUGAAGAAGAGAAGUCUGCUACCUCUCUACUCCAGUAUCCAGUUUCUUUCUAAGGUAAGGGGUAUUAUUUCUUUCGUAUUCAUGAAAAGAGCUUCUGUUAUUCCAUUCUUUAUUAUUAUGUUGGAAUAACUUGUCUAUGCGAAGUACCGCAUACACGGUGGAAUUCUUCUGUUAUUCCAUUCCUUAUUAUUAUGUUAGAAUAACCUGUCUAUGCGAAGUACCGCAUACAUGGUGAAAUUCUUCUGUUAUUCCAUUCUUUAUUAUUCUGUUGGAAUAUCCUAUAUGUGCGUAUUACGCAUGACCUGGUUCCAUUAUUUAUUAUUUUAUUGGAAUAACCUGUCUGUGCGGUCAAUCGCAUGCCUGGUGAAUUCUGUGGUUAUUCCAUUCUUUAUUAUUCUGUUUGAAUAUCCUGUCUGUGCGGAUUACGCAUGACCUGGUUCCAUUCUUUAUUAUUCUGUUGGAGUAUCCUAUUUGUGCGGAUUACGUAUGAUCUGGUUCCAUUCUUUAUUAUUCUAUUGGGAGUAACCUGUCUGCGCGGUCUAUCGCAUGCAUGGUGAAUCCUUCUGUUAUUCCAUUCUUGAUUAUUCUGUUGGAAUAACCUGUCUAUGUGGAUUACCACAUGCACAGUGAAUGAUCCUUUGUAUUCAUUCCUAGUUAAAUUGUGGAAAUGAUCUGUCUACAUGGAUUACCGCAUGGCGAGCAAAAAUCCAUUUGCAGUUUCAUAUAUUCUAUUAUACUUAGUUGGUUAAAGUUUUGGCUUCUAUACUCCAUGAAAUUAGUAGAAUAUCCUGGAUAUUCGUGCUUCAUCCACUAUCUUUUCAUGGGAAUAUUUUUCUGAGCAUUCUUGAAUUUUACUCCACAAAGAAGUAUCAUGUUGACAAUUUGGACGUUAUUGAUUUCUGGAUAAACUAAAAUUUUAAAUCUUUAAAAUUUAUUCUUGAACUUGUUUUAUUGAAUUAUUAUGUCAUUGUCAUCAUCUUCAUGCUUAUAUUGUGAUGAAAAUCAUCUUUGGCUUACGUGCAUUGAUGGACUUGGUAUGAUUAUGACCAGGGAUUAUUUGGUAUAAUCAUGACCUAUAAUCUUAUAAAUGAUGUGGUAAAAGUCCUCAGUAGCCUGUAGUGCAUUGACUGACAGUUUUUGGUAUGAUUAUGACCAGGGAUUAUUCAGUAUAGUCAUGACCAUUGAUGAUUUAAUGAAUAUCCUUGGCCCGUAGUGCAGGGAUGACCCGAUGAUGUGGUUUAUUUAUUAAGUUGAGUCUCAACGAUAAAAAUUGAAGAAAAUAUUUUAAAUCAUAGAAGAUAGUAGAUAUCAUGCUCUACUUGACUCUUCUAAUGGAUUGCUUAUUCCGCUGCAGUUAAACUUGAUGUCUAUUGUAUUUUAUCAGUUUAACAUUGUUGAAGACUAAUGAUAAUUUAUUCUGCAUUAUCUUAGUCAUAAUAUUUCUUACUGGGCUAGUUGAGCUCACCCUUUCUUUCACUGUUCUCCUCAGGAAAUGAGAACGUAGCCGAGACUAGUCGGGGAACAGAGUGACGGUCCAGAUGAUAGCAUUAAUAGUCCUCACUAUUUUGUUAAAUAGUGUGACAAUAAAUGUAAUGAUGACUCCAUUGAGUGUGGAUAUUGUCUAUAUGACAAUAUUCUUAUUAAAACUCUUAAAUUAUGUUUUGUCGUAUUUUACACCACCGUUGUAUAAUUAAGUUGUAUUUGAAUUUUGUAGCAUGUAUUUGGCGACUCAAGAUGGGUGAUGUAUACCUAUUUUGGGGGCGUCACAGUUGGUAUCAAAGCUUAGGGAUACGAUCCCUGGCUGAGAUGUGAGACAAGAACUAGGAGGGGAGAGACGGGGAAUUCCUUCGCUAGUAUGACCUACCUAAGUUUAUUUGGUAUUUAAUUGGUCGGUCAGAGUAUAGGGAUAAUAUGUGAUAUGUUAAUUAACCCUUGUUUUGUGGCAGUAUUUGAAAAUGGGAUCCGAAAAUGUUGAGAUAAACAAUGAAGCACAUGAGACCGUUGAGUCACCACAGAUUAAUGCCCAGGAUAAUGUGCAACAGGAAGACAAUAAUCCUCAUGUAAACAAUAACACCGAUGAAAUGGUGAACGAUGGGAUGUUCAGAGGCUUUAUGCAAUUCAUGCAACAUCAGGCGAAAGCGGCUCCUGUCCAAAAUGCAGGUGGAAACACUGACAACUCUCGUACGGUCACCACUAAGCAGUUCAAGGAGCUGGGACCACCAGAGUUUUUUGGAGAGCCAAAACCACUUAAGGCGGAGACGUGGAUAGAGUAGAACAACAAGAUAUUUGAUGUCUUGGGAUGCUUCGAGGAGCAAAAUGUUCCCUUUGCCACCUUCAUGUUGCGAGUAGAGGCAGAUUACUGGUGGGAAUCUAUAAAGCGUACUCAAUCUGCCGCACUCAAAAUGUCUUGGGAGAAGUUCCAAGAGCUGUUCAACGAGAAGUACUUUCCUGAAAGUAUUCGUCACAUGAAGGAGGUAGAGUUCAUCAAGCUUGAGCAAAAUAAUAUGACCGUGGCGCAGUACGAAGCUAUGUUUGUCGAGUUAUCUCGGUUUGCGUCCCACUUGGUUGAUAAUGAGGAGAGAAUGACGCGGAUGUUUCUAAGAGGUUUGAAACCUGAGAUACGUCAAUACCUUAUCUCUCAUAAACUGUGUUUGUAUUCAGAUGUUGUGAAUAGGGCUCAGUUAUUGGAGCACGAUAAUGAGUCAACCCAACCAAGAGAGAGCAGCCAGCAAAUCGAUAAUACCAGUGGUAGCAGUCAUCGAAGCGGUGACAACAAAGGUGGAGGGAAUCAACAUUCCAAAAAUGAUAAUCACUUCGGUUGUAAUCAUGGCCAUGCUAAUAAGAGUGGACAUUUCAAGAAGAGGAGAUUCAACAAGGAUGGAAAGACGUCAGCACUAGCACCUGUUGUUAAGGAAGGAGAACGACCAUUGGUCGUAUGCAAAUGUGGAGGGGAAGGACACAUAAGUCCAAACUGCACGAUACAAUCCAAAGCGUGUUAUAAUUGUGGAAAAGAAGGUCACCUAGCCCAAUUUUGUCAUGCACCUAAGUCAAGUCCAGUUGGGAUGGAGGCAUCAAAGGGUGUCCCUGACAAGAUAAAACCGGUAGUUCAAGGGGGAGCGUUUGCCAUAAUCUCCCAAAAAGCGAGGAAUCCGAACGAGGUGAUCAUGGGUAAGCUAAUCAUAAACUCUAACGAAGCUUAUACUUUAUUUGAUACCGAUUCUACCCAUUCCUUUAUUUCUCCUACUUGCGCUCAAUGUUUAAAUUUAACUCCGUAGAAAUUAGACUUUGACUUAUCUGUUGAAACUCUAUUGGGAGAAACCUUCAUUACAUCCACGGUUUAUAAGUCUUGUUUGAUUCAAAUCGGUAACCGCAUGUUACCUGUCGAUCUUAUUUCUUUGAAAAUUCUUGCAUUUGAUGUGAUUUUAGGGGUUGAUAGGUUAACUACUCAUCAUGCUAAAAUUGAUUAUUUUCGUAAGGUUGUUAGCUUUCAUAUUCCUAACCAACCUAUUAUGUGAAUUCAAGCAACCAAACCACUAAAAUCAAUCACUGUCAUAUCAAGUCAUAAAGCUAUUCGUUUAUUAAAAAACGGAUGUCAAGCUUUCUUAGCCCAUGUCACGGAUUUAAAUAAAGAUACGUCAUAUUUGAAUGAUAUUUCUAUUGUUAAUAAAUUUCCUGACGUAUUCCCUGAAGAACUUCCUGGCCUACCCCCAGAGCGUGAAAUUAAAUUUUGUAUCGACCUUGAAUCCGGUACAAAACCCAUUUCCAAAGCCUCAUAUCGAAUGGCUCCUAUUCAACCUCAAGAGUUAAAAACCCAACAACAGGAAUUGUUAGACAUCGGUUUCAUUCGUCCUAGUACGUCUCCUUAGGGUGUCCUGUUCUAUUCGUAAAGAAGAAAGAUGGAAGUAUGCGACUUUGUAUUGAUUGUCGGGAGUUGAAUCAUGUCACCAUCAAAAAUAGGUACCCGUUGCCUCGCAUUUAUGACCUAUUUGACCAGUUGCAAGGAGCCAAAUUCUUUUCAAAGAUUGAUCUUCAUUCCAGAUAUCAUCAGUUGAAGAUUAAAACUGAUGACAUUCCAAAGACUGCUUUCAGAACUCGGUACGGGCAUUAUGAAUUCCUAGUCAUGUCUUUUCGAUUGACUAAUGCUCCUGUUGCCUUCAUGGAUAUGAUGAACCGAGUAUUCAAGGAAUAUUUAGAUCACUUUGUGGUCGUCUUUAUUGAUGACAUCCUCAUAUACUCCAAAACCCGCGAAGACCAUGAGCAACACUUGAGGCUGAUACUCCAAAAGCUUCGUGAAAAUAAGCAUUAUGCCAAGUUGAAGAAAUGCGAGUUCUGGCUUGAGGAAGUUGCAUUUCUUGGGCACGUGAUAUUAAAUUGUGGAAUAUCUGUUGACCCGAAAAAGAUUAUAGCAAUUCAAAGCUGGGAGCAACCUAAGUUAGUGACCGAAGUACGUAGCUUUCUCGACUUAACUAGUUAUUAUCGGAGAUUCAGAGAAGGGUUUUCUCGAAUUGCUACUCCAUUAACUCAGCUGACUCGAAAAGGUACAAAAUUCGGUUGGAGCGAGGAUGUGAAAAGAGUUUAAAAGAACUCAAGAGGAGACUCAUUUCGGCACCUGUUCUGACAAUACCAUCUGGCUCGGAGGGAUUUGUCAUCUACAGUGAUGCUUCAGGCAAAGGGUUAGGAUGUGUUCUCAUGCAACAUGGGAAAGUCAUAGCCUAUGCCUCUCGACAACUCAAAGAAUAUGAGAGGAAUUAUCCUACUCAUGAUCUAGAGUUGGCAGCAGUCAUUUUUGCGCUUAUAAUUUGGAGGCAUUACCUGUAUGGAGAGAAGGUGGAGAUCUAUACGGAUCAUAAAAGUCUCAAAUAUUUCUUCACUCAAAAGGAACUCAACAUGCGGCAACGAUGAUGGCUUUAGUUGUUGAAAGAUUAUGAUCAUACCAUCCAAUACCAUCCUGAAAAAGUCAACGUAGUAGCUGACGCAUUGAGUAGAAGAUCGUAUGCGGGUACGAGUGCAAUAUUGUUAACGCAAAGACCCAUUUUGUAUGACUUGGAAAUGAUGGAAAUAGAGUUAAAGACUCCAAGGACCCAUGUGAUGAUGACGAAUAUAUGAGUGGAACCGACUUUAAUCGAUAAAGUUAAAGUUGUUUAAACUACAGACUUGGAGCUGAUGCGUAUGAAGAAGAAAGUGCAAGAAGGUGCUAUUUCGAAAGCAAGAAUCGAUGAAGAAGGAAUACUUCGAGUCAACUCCAGACUUUGUGUUCCUAACGAUUCUGACUUGAAGUAUAAAAUCAUGAUGGAGGCGCACAACACACCGUUUACAAUCCAUCCUGGGAGUACCAAAAUGUAUCGUGAUCUUCGACAUACAUUUUGGUGGAGCAAUAUGAAGAGAGAGAUAGCGGGGUUUAUCUCAAGGUGUCUAACUUGUCAACGAGUCAAGGCGGAGCAUCAAGUGCCAAAAGGUCCAUUGCAACCACUUGAAAUUCCAGAAUGGAAGUGGGAGCACAUUACCAUGGAUUUCAUUACUAGUCUUCCCAAGGUUUCUCAAAGCAUAAAUGCGAUUUGGAUCAUUGUUGAUAGAUUGACCAAGUCUGCUCAUUUCUUACCGAUAUGAGAAACUUUUACACUUGAACGUCUAGCUAGUAUGUACAUAAACGAGAUCAUAAGAUUUCAUGGUAUGCCAGUAUCCAUAGUUUCUGAUCGAGACCCAAGAUUCACUUCAAGAUUUUGGGUUAGUUUACAAAAAGCUAUGGGCACGGAUUUACGAUUUAGUUCGGCAUAUCCUCAAACAGAUGGGCAGUCAAAAAGGACUAUUCAAACUAUUGAAGAUUUAUUAAGACUGUGUCCUUGACUUCAAGGGAAGUUGGGACAAGUUCUUACCAUUACUGGAGUUUUCCUACAACAAUAGUUAUCAAACAAGUAUUAGUAUGGCUCCAUUUGAGGCAUUUUAUGGUAAAAAGUAUCGUUCUCCAGUAUGUUGGGAUGAGGUUGGUGAAGCAACGUUGUUGGGACCAGAUUUGGUAUGUAUGACUACAGAAAAGAUUCAAAUGAUCCGACAACGUAUAAAAACCACACAAGAUCGACAAAAGAGUUAUGCUGAUCUUCAUCGAAAAGACGUGGAAUUCAAUAUUGGAGAUCAUGUGUUGUUACGUGUUGCUCCAUGGAAAGGAGUUACAAGAUUUGGAAAGAAAGGAAAGCUCAAUCCUCGAUUCAUUGGCCCAUUUUUAAUCCUCGAUAGAGUAGGAACUGUGGCCUAUAGACUCGCCUUACCGCCAAGUAUGUCUCGUGUUCAUAACAUUUUUCACAUAUCUAUGAUACGUAAAUAUGUGAAAGACCCGAACCAUAUUAUUGAAUUAGAACCAGACGAGAUAGAGGAAGAUUUAACGUAUGAAGAGUUACCUGUUAAAAUUUUGGAUAAGAAGGAUCAUAUUCUACGCUCUAAAGUUAUACCUCAAGUCAAAGUUUUGUGGAGAAACCAGGAUGUGGAGGAAAUGACAUGGGAGUUAGAAUCUGAGAUGAAAUCAAGGUAUCCUCACCUAUUCGACAUACCAGGUACGCACCCUAAUUUCUAGGAUGAAAUUUCAUAAGAAGGGGAGGUUGUAAGACCCCAACUUUUAUGAAUAAAGAAUAAUUUUCUUGAAAUAUAUUUUUGAAUAUUAUGGAGUGGAUUUGAUAUAAUGUUAUAGUUAUGGGUAAUAUUUAAAAAUUUUGCAAAGUAAGCAAGUGGUUAUAUAAUAUUCGAUUGGUCGGGGAAUAUUUGUUUUAACAGGGAAUAUUCGUACGACGGCACAAUCAUUUGUGGACCCCACAACGGAAGUAUUGUCGUAGUUAGAAAACGACAUAAUUAUCUUUUUAUAAAAAUAACGGCGGAAGUUUUACCAUUAAACUUUUGAACUACCCGGUAGUAAAAUUACAGUAAUACGAGUGGUUGCAUAGUAGCACACGGUAUUGAAUAUUGAUGCUUACGUGAGAAGUCACUCAGUUAUACUCAAUUAUUGCUACAGUAAUUCCUGCAUCAUAUCUCUCAUAUUAUUGAUUCGAUUAUUGACACAGUAUCAUCUGCAUUAUAUGUUAUAUUAUAAAAUUAAUAAUUGAGAUGACAAAGUUAUUCAUAUUAUUAAAUUGUAAUAUUUACAAUGUCUAGAAGUUUUGUCAAUGAGAGGUUUGGUCAUCUAAUUGCGCGCCAAUAAGGAGAAAUCCUUAUCGGAAAGCCCCCUAUUUCCUGAGAACGACCUGGUUGUUAAAUAUUGUGAGUUAUAAUAUUAAUGACGAAUAAGUUCAUGUUGAUUAAAGAUGAAAUUGAUAGUUCCAUUGUGUUGGAAUUAUUAGUGUUAGUGGAAAUCGACAUUUAUUUCGAUAUUAAUUGAUAUCUGGAAGUUAUCGGGUAAUUAAUCGGAUUAAUGAGGAAUUAAUUGCUAUUAAUUCACAUGAUUAUAACUAUUUGUUCACAUGUGUGUACUAUUGAUUCAUAUUCAUGUACUAUUAGGGGAGUUGGUGCAAGAUUGAUAAUACUUGCAUGAUUAAGUUAAAAAUGGAGGUAUAGAUGGAUGUACUAUAUUGUUAUUCAUAUUUUCACAUGAUUAUAACUUUUUAAUCACAUGAUUGAACUAUUGAUUCACAUUAUUUACUAUUAGGGGAGGUGGUGCAAGUUUGAUAAUACUUGCAGGACUAAAUUAAAAAUGAAAGAAAAGUUGGAUGUAUUUACUGUAAUUUUUUGAGCCCCAAAACGUGCAAUUAUCGAAACUAUAUUUCCCUUCAUUUCUCACCAAUUAUAGAGAGAAUGAAGAAGAGAAGUCUGCUACCUCUCUACUCCAGUAUCCAGUUUCUUUCUAAGGUAAGGGGUAUUAUUUCUAUCGUAUUCAUGAAGAGAGCUUCUGUUAUUCCAUUCUUUAUUAUUAUGUUGGAAUAACCUGUCUAUGCGAAGUACCGCAUACAUGGUGAAAUUCUUCUGUUAUUCCAUUCCUUAUUAUUAUGUUGGAAUAACCUGUCUAUGCGAAGUACCGCAUAUAUGGUGAAAUUCUUCUGUUAUUCCAGUCUUUAUUAUUCUAUUGGAAUAUCCUAUAUGUGCGUAUUACGCAUGACCUGGUUCCAUUAUUUAUUAUUCUGUUGGAAUAACCUGUCUGUGCGGUCUAUCGCAUGCCUGGUGAAUUCUGUUGUUAUUCCAUUCUUUAUUAUUCUGUUGGAAUAACCUGUCUGUGCGGUCUAUCGCAUGCCUGGUGAAUUCUGUUGUUAUUCCAUCCUUUAUUAAUUCUAUUGGAAUAUCCUGUCUGUGCGGAUUACGCAUGACCGGGUUCCAUUCUUUAUUAUUCUGUUGGGAGUAACCUGUCUAUGCGGUCUAUCGCAUGCAUGGUGAAUCCUUCUGUUAUUCCAUUCUUUAUUAUUCUGUUAGAAUAACAUGUCUAUGUGGAUUACCGCAUGCAUGGUGAAUCCUUCUGUUAUUCCAUUCUUUAUUAUUCUGUUAGAAUAACAUGUCUAUGUGGAUUACCACAUGCAUGGUGAAUCCAUCUAUUAUUCCAUUCUUUAUUAUUCUGUUGGAAUAACCUGUCUACGUGGAUUACUGCAUGGUGGGCAAAAAUCCAUUUGCAGUUUCAUAUAUUCUAUUAUACUCAGUUGGUUAAAGUUUUGGCUUCUAUACUCCAUGAAAUUAGUAGAAUAUCCUAGAUAUUUGCACUUCAUCCAGUAUCUUUUCAUGGGAAUAUUCUUCUAAGCAUUCUUGAAUUUUACUCCACAAAGUAGUAUCAUAUUGAUAAUUUGGACGUUAUUAAUUUUUGGAUAAACUAAAAUUUUAAAUCUUUAAAAUUUAUUCUUGAACUUGUUUUAUUGAAUUAUUAUGUCAUUAUCAUCAUCAUCAUGCUUAUAUUGUGAUGAAAGUCAUCUUUGGCUUACGUGCAUAGAUGGACUUGGUAUGAUUAUGACCAGGGAUUAUUCGAUGUAAUCAUGACCUGUAAUGUUAUAAAUGAUGUGGUAAAAGUCCUCAGUAGCCUGUAGUGCAUUAAUGGACAGUUUUUGGUAUGAUUGUGACUAGGGAUUAUUCGGUAUAGUCAUGACCAUUGAUGAUUUAAUGAAUAUCCUUGGCCCGUAGUGCAGGGAUGACUCGAUGAUGUGGUUUAUUUAUUAAGCUGAGUCUCGGCGAUAAAAAUUGAUGAAAAUAUUUUAAAUCUUAGAAGAUAGUAGAUAUCAUGCUCUACUCUACUCUUCUAAUGGAUUGUUUAUUUCGCUGCAAUUAAACUUUAUGUCUAUUGUAUUUUAUCUGUUUAACAUUGUUGAAGACUAAUAAUAAUUUAUUCUGCAUUAUCUUAGUCAUAAUAUUUCUUACUGGGCUAGUUGAGCUCACCCUUUCUUUCACUGUUCUAUUCAGGAAAUGAGAACGUAGCCGGGACUAGUCG
This 21342-nucleotide long non-coding RNA is filed under the name Panax ginseng (ginseng). RNAcentral describes it as "long non-coding RNA (PGIN_LNC002928)". Lineage: Eukaryota; Viridiplantae; Streptophyta; Magnoliopsida; Apiales; Araliaceae. The record is from RNAcentral.